UCCCUAGUAACGGCGAGCGAACGGGGAAGAGCCCAUCGCCCAAUCCGACGCCUCCUAGGCGUACCGGAAAUUUGGCGUAUGGGAGAGACGCUUCCGGGUGCCUCCUCCGGUGCAAGUCCCCCUGACUGGGGCUCCUACCCCGAGAGGGUGCAAGGCCCGUAGCGGCCGGAAGGUGGUCCCGGAUGUCCUCUCCUGGGAGUCGGGUUGCUUGAGAGUGCAGCCCUAAUCAGGUGGUAAACUCCAUCUAAGGCUAAAUACGACCUCGAGACCGAUAGCGAACAAGUACCGUGAGGGAAAGUUGAAAAGGACUUUGAAGAGAGAGUUCAAGAGUACGUGAAACCGUUCGGAGGUAAACGAGUGGGCCCUCGAAGGAAGAUGGCGGGGGGACUCAGGCGAGAGAGAUUGCCUGCCUGCGCUGCCUCGCUUCCCAAACAGGACUUGGCGCGUGGGUUAGUGCUUUAGCUUUCGCCGCAUUUCCUCUCGCCCUCCGACGCUGCGACCGGUCGGGUGCGCCACGAGCAGUCGGCCUUACUCGCGGGGACUGGNAAGGUAGCCGGGGCAGAGCUUCGGCUCUGUUCCGGUGUUUAGCCACCCCGCAAUCACGGCCGUUCACCCGACCGAAGGACAUGGCCCUUAGGGGCUUAGCCGCACCCUACCCUCGCGGUAGCGUUUUCCCGCCGGAAGGGAUGUCGCCGCUUUCGGCGGUUCACCGUAANGUGUCCGCUGUGCGGUGNCGCCUGCUGGCUGNCGGGNUUACGUGCGGGUGCAGGCGGUCUGCNUGACCCGUCUUGAAACACGGACCAAGGAGUUUAACAUGUACGCGAGUCAUUGGGUCUUGCACAGGCCCAAAGGCGCAAUGAAAGUGAAGGUCGGCUUUCGCCGUCCGCGUUGGGAUCCGGAGCUUCCGCUUCGGCGCACCAACGGCUCGUCCAUGUCGCAACGUCGACCGGGCGAAGCUAGAGCGUACACGUUGAGACCCGAAAGAUGGUGAACUAUGGCUGGGCAGGACGAAGCCAGAGGAAACUCUGGUGGAGGUCCGCAGCGGUUCUGACGUGCAAAUCGAUCGUCAGACCUGGCUAUAGGGGCGAAAGACUAAUCGAACCAUCUAGUAGCUGGUUCCUUCCGAAUGUAAACGACGGCCAGUACCUAUUUUUCAACUUUAAAUGGUGAGAAGUCCGGUUGCUUGAUUGAAGCCUGGACUUCUCGGAUGCGAGUGCCAGUGGCCACUUUGGUAAGCAGACUGGCGCUGUGGGAUGAACCAAACGACGGGUUAAGGGGCCCGAUGCAGGACGCUCAUGAGACCCCAUGAAAGGUGUUGGUUGCUAUAGACAGCAGGACGGUGGCCAUGGAAGUCGGAAUCCGCUAAGGAGUGUGUAACAACUCACCUGCCGAAGCAACUAGCCCUGAAAAUGGAUGGCGCUUCAGCGUCGACCCCAUACCCGUCCGCCGCGGCCGAGAUGCGAUCGCAUUAUGCCGCGGUGAGUAGGAGGGCGCGGGGGCGCGCGUGGAAGGUGCCGGGCGUAAGCCCGCCUGAAGCCGCCCCCGGUGCAGAUCUUGGUGGUAGUAGCAAAUACUCAAGUGAGAACCUUGAGGACUGAGGUGGAGAAGGGUUCCAUGUGAACAGCAGUUGAACAUGGGUCAGUCGGUCCUAAGGGAUGUCCGAAAGGAUUUCCGAAGGGGGACUUUAGUAACUUUGGUCCCGCCCAUGACCGAAAGGGAAUCGGGUUAAUAUUCCCGAACCCGGACACGGAGAUCGGCUCCCUCGGGAGCACGUGCGGUAACGCAAACGACCUCGGAGACGUCGACGGGGGUCCCGGGAAGAGUUGUCUUUUCUUUGUAAGGGUUCGGCUCCCUGGAAUCGGCUCGCCCGGAGAUAGGGAUGCUGAACCCGUAAAGCACCGCGCCUCUUGCGGUGUCCGGAGCGCUCCCGUCGGCCCUUGAAAAUCCGAGCGAGAGUUGGUGAUUUUCGUGCCGGACCGUACCCAUAUCCGCAGCA
This 1996-nucleotide ribosomal RNA is filed under the name Hendea myersi. RNAcentral's name for it is "eukaryotic LSU rRNA". It matches the Rfam family "Eukaryotic large subunit ribosomal RNA", at positions 77 to 1861 of the family's 3401-position model. Lineage: Eukaryota; Metazoa; Arthropoda; Arachnida; Opiliones; Triaenonychidae. The record is from RNAcentral.